RNAcentral lists this ribosomal RNA (141 nucleotides) under uncultured bacterium. Its description in RNAcentral is "partial 16S rRNA". It matches the Rfam family "Bacterial small subunit ribosomal RNA", at positions 355 to 511 of the family's 1533-position model. The record is from RNAcentral.
UGGGGAAUUUUCCGCAAUGGGCGAAAGCCUGACGGAGCAAUGCCGCGUGGAGGUGGAAGGCCUACGGGUCGUCAACUUCUUUUCUCGGAGGAGAAACAAUGACGGUAUCUGAGGAAUAAGCAUCGGCUAACUCUGUGCCUG